This 467-nucleotide ribosomal RNA is filed under the name uncultured bacterium. RNAcentral describes it as "partial 16S ribosomal RNA". It matches the Rfam family "Bacterial small subunit ribosomal RNA", at positions 28 to 506 of the family's 1533-position model. The record is from RNAcentral.
GACGAACGCUGGCGGCGUGCUUAACACAUGCAAGUCGAACGGCAAGGCCCUGCUUUUGUGGGGUGCUCGAGUGGCGAACGGGUGAGUAACACGUGUGUAACCUGCCCUUGACUUUGGGAUAACUUCAGGAAACUGGGGCUAAUACCGGAUAGGAGCUCCUGCUGCAUGGUGGGGGUUGGAAAGUUUCGGCGGUUGGGGAUGGACUCGCGGCUUAUCAGCUUGUUGGUGGGGUAGUGGCUUACCAAGGCUUUGACGGGUAGCCGGCCUGAGAGGGUGACCGGCCACAGUGGGACUGGGAUACGGCCCAGACGCCUACGGGAGGCAGCAGUGGGGAAUAGUGCACAAUGGGCGGAAGCCUGAUGCAGGAACUCCGCGUGCGGGAUGACGGCCUUCGGGUUGUAAACCGCUUUCGCCUGUAACGAGGCGUGAGUGACGGUAAUGGGUAAAGAAGCACCGGCUAACUACGU